This 888-nucleotide ribosomal RNA is filed under the name Triticum aestivum (bread wheat). Its description in RNAcentral is "partial small subunit ribosomal RNA". Lineage: Eukaryota; Viridiplantae; Streptophyta; Magnoliopsida; Poales; Poaceae. The record is from RNAcentral.
AUGACGAAGACGAUGCCGCGUGACUCUUCAGCGAGUGGAGCGUUGGUGCCGAGCGACUCGGCGGCGAUGGCGGCUGCCGCGACGGCGGCGACGACGGCGGCAGCGGGGAAGCUCCCAUUCCCGCUGCUCACGAGGACGAACUACGCGGCAUGGGCGAUGAGGAUGAAGUACCUCUUGCGCGCCAAUGGCGCGUGGGGUGCCGUUGAUCGCGAGGCCUCAUCGGAGGUCGACAAGGGCAAGGAGGAGAUGGCCAUGACGAUCAUCUCCCAGUCCAUCGAUGACUCGACGCUGCUGCGGGUUGCGGAGAAGGAGACCGCAGCCGAUGUGUGGGCGGCGCUACGCUCCAUGCAUGUGGGCGUCGAGCGCGUCCGAGAGGCGAGGGUUCAAUCCUUGCGCUCGGAAUUUGAUGGCCUCAAGAUGGGUGAUGCGGAGUCCGUGGAUGAUUUCGCGGCGAGGUUCACGACGCUCGUGGGGCGCAUCCGUGAGCUUGGUGAUGCGAUGGAGGAGAAGUACGUCGUGAAGAAGCUGCUCCGAUCCGUUUCCAACAAGUUCAUCCAUGUUGCGUCGUCAAUUGCGUUGUUCGGCGACACCAACAAGAUGGCCAUGGAGGAGGCCAUUGGUUCACUCAAGGCACACGAGGAACUCGUCAAGGGGCAUGAGACGGGACGCGAAGAAGAGCAGCUCCUCAUGGCGAGAGGACACGACUCGUCGCGAGGACGGGGUCGUGGCCGUGGACGCGGUGGAGGGCGUAGAGACAAAAGUGAGGUACAGUGUUACAAUUGCCGCAAACUUGGUCACUUCGCUUGGGAGUGUCCCGAGAAGAAGGAGAACGAGGAGGAGAAGGCGCUGCUGGGACAGUACGUCGACGACGAGCCAGCUCUCCUUUGA